Molecule: ribosomal RNA, 246 nt
Filed under: uncultured bacterium
Lineage: Bacteria
Description: partial 16S ribosomal RNA
Rfam family: Bacterial small subunit ribosomal RNA
Source: RNAcentral
GUAGGGGGCAAGCGUUAUCCGGAUUCACUGGGCGUAAGGGGAGCGCAGGCGGCAUGGCAAGUCUGAUGUGAAAACCCGGGGCCCAACCCCGGGAGUGCAUUGGAAACUGCCAGGCUGGAGUGUCGGAGGGGUAAGCGGAAUUCCUAGUGUAGCGGUGAAAUGCGUAGAUAUUAGGAGGAACACCAGUGGCGAAGGCGGCUUACUGGACGACUACUGACGCUGAGGCUCGAAAGCGUGGGGAGCAAA